UUUUUUUUUUUUUUUUGGACAUUCUCAAUGCAUUUAGUGCUAUUAGUAACCUUUUUUUUUAAUAGUAUGAAUCAUUGUUGAAGUUAAAAACUCACUUUCCCAAAUUACAGAAUCAAUUUUUUUCAACUUAUAUAAGUUUUUUUUACUUUACAAACUGUAAUAAACAUAAGCUGCACCAAGCAAUCAUAUAAACAGCUCUAAAGCAACACAAUAUAAGGUCAUGAUCACAUUUGGUUUGUUUGCUAUCCUUCAGCUCCUUAACUAUCCGACCUGCCUUGCAUUCAAUAUAUAAUCAUCACAUCCUGGGGCUGAAAGGUCCCAAGUACGUGAGUUGAGUUUCAACAUCGUGGGAUAGUUUGGUUCUACUGUUGGUGUUAAAGAGAGCUGUGAGGAGCAAACCUAGUACGAGAGAACUGGGUUGGGCCCAAUCUAAGGUGUACCGGUUGUUAUGCCAAUGGCAUUGCCACACGACUAUAACAGUAUGAAAGAACUAUUGCGCCAGGCGAAAUCCUUCUCUACAAUGACACCAAAGGAAAACACACAUCCAAGAGCACAAGAAGACAAUGGGUAUACAGGAUUGACAACCUAUUAAUCUUCAUAUCAAGUAAAUUGUUGUCAAUAAUACAAGCCACAAGUAAUUCACAAAGAUAUUCCCCAAAACAUAACUGGUCAAGCAUCCACCAUCAAAAUUGAACCAAAACCCUCAUCAACUAUUAAAUGAGACAAAAAAAAUACCUAGCAACAGGAGAGAUGUGAGCACCAAAGCUUACUAGUCACAAAUUUUAAAAAAAUACAAAAUCAAACUUUCAAGUCCUCCAAAAGUAGCAUAAAUGUAAACAAAAUU
Molecule: non-coding RNA, 844 nt
Organism: Camellia sinensis
Lineage: Eukaryota; Viridiplantae; Streptophyta; Magnoliopsida; Ericales; Theaceae
Source: RefSeq, a predicted model, not a curated record